GAUGAACGCUAGCGGCAGGCUUAACACAUGCAAGUCGAGGGGUAUAGGGAGCUUGCUUCCUAGAGACCGGCGCACGGGUGCGUAACGCGUAUGCAAUCUACCUUUUGCAGAGGGAUAGCCCAGAGAAAUUUGGAUUAAUACCUCAUAGUAUGUGAGAAUGGCAUCAUUUUCACAUUAAAGUCACAACGGCAAAAGAUGAGCAUGCGUCCCAUUAGCUUGUUGGUAAGGUAACGGCUUACCAAGGCAACGAUGGGUAGGGGGCCUGAGAGGGAGAUCCCCCACACUGGUACUGAGACACGGACCAGACUCCUACGGGAGGCAGCAGUGGA
This 329-nucleotide ribosomal RNA is filed under the name uncultured bacterium. RNAcentral's name for it is "bacterial SSU rRNA". It matches the Rfam family "Bacterial small subunit ribosomal RNA", at positions 28 to 358 of the family's 1533-position model. The record is from RNAcentral.